UAGAUACCCUGGUAGUCCACGCCGUAAACGUUGGGCGCUAGGUGUGGGGCUCAUUCCACGAGUUCCGUGCCGCAGCUAACGCAUUAAGCGCCCCGCCUGGGGAGUACGGCCGCAAGGCUAAAACUCAAAGGAAUUGACGGGGGCCCGCACAAGCGGCGGAGCAUGUUGCUUAAUUCGAUGCAACGCGAAGAACCUUACCUAGGCUUGACAUGCACGGAAAUCCUCCAGAGAUGGUGGGUCCGUAAGGGCC
RNAcentral lists this ribosomal RNA (250 nucleotides) under uncultured bacterium. RNAcentral's name for it is "partial 16S ribosomal RNA". It matches the Rfam family "Bacterial small subunit ribosomal RNA", at positions 779 to 1028 of the family's 1533-position model. The record is from RNAcentral.